Non-coding RNA from Cerrena zonata, 118 nucleotides. Lineage: Eukaryota; Fungi; Basidiomycota; Agaricomycetes; Polyporales; Cerrenaceae. The record is from the annotation of a GenBank genome assembly.
GGGCGUGUGGUCUAGUGGUAUGAUUCUCGCUUUGGGUUAAGAUCAUUACUUGACUGGAAACAGUUUAGUAGCUGACCAAGCAUGCGAGAGGCCCUGGGUUCAAUUCCCAGCUCGCCCC